UACCAGCUCUCCGAGUGGUAGGGAUGAUUAUUGGGCUUAAAGCGUCCGUAGCCGGCUUAGCAAGUUUCCCGUUAAACUCAGCGACUCAAUCGUUGGAUCGCGGGAAAUACUACUAGGCUAGGAGGCGGGAGAGGUCAACGGUACUUCUGGGGUAGGGGUGAAAUCCUAUAAUCCCGGGAGGACCACCAGUGGCGAAGGCUGUUGACUAGAACGCGCUCGACGGUGAGGGACGAAAGCUGGGGUAGCAAACCGGAUUAGAUACCCGGGUAGUCCCAGCUGUAAACGAUGCGAGCUAGGUGUUGGAAUGGCUACGGGCCAUUUCAGUGCCGCAGGGAAGCCAUUAAGCUCGCCGCCUGGGGAGUACGGCCGCAAGGCUGAAACUUAAAGGAAUUGGCGGGGAGCACCACAAGGCGUGAAGCUUGCGGUUC
RNAcentral lists this ribosomal RNA (428 nucleotides) under uncultured archaeon. RNAcentral describes it as "bacterial SSU rRNA". It matches the Rfam family "Archaeal small subunit ribosomal RNA", at positions 474 to 903 of the family's 1478-position model. The record is from RNAcentral.